RNAcentral lists this ribosomal RNA (921 nucleotides) under uncultured bacterium. Its description in RNAcentral is "bacterial SSU rRNA". It matches the Rfam family "Bacterial small subunit ribosomal RNA", at positions 53 to 962 of the family's 1533-position model. The record is from RNAcentral.
ACAUGCAGUCGAACGCUGAAGCACUCUGCUUGCAGAGUGUGGAUGAGUGGCGAACGGGUGAGUAACACGUGGAGAACCUGCCCAUAAGAGGGGGAUAACAUCCGGAAACGGGUGCUAAUACCGCAUAGGUAUCCGACACGCAUGUGUCGGCUAUGAAAGACGGCUUCGGCUGUCGCUUAUGGAUGGCUCCGCGGCGUAUUAGCUAGUUGGUGAGGUAAUGGCUCACCAAGGCAGUGAUACGUAGCCGACCUGAGAGGGCGAUCGGCCACACUGGGACUGAGACACGGCCCAGACUCCUACGGGAGGCAGCAGUAGGGAAUCUUCCACAAUGGGCGCGAGCCUGAUGGAGCAAUGCCGCGUGAAUGAAGAAGGUCUUCGGAUCGUAAAGUUCUGUUAUCGGAGAAGAACACGUCGAGUAGUAACUGGCUCGACCUUGACGGUAUCCGACCAGAAAGUCACGGCUAACUACGUGCCAGCAGCCGCGGUAAUACGUAGGUGACAAGCGUUGUCCGGAUUUAUUGGGCGUAAAGCGAGCGCAGGCGGUCUUUUAAGUCUGAUGUGAAAGCCCACGGCUCAACCGUGGAUGGUCAUUGGAAACUGGAGGACUUGAAUGCAGAAGAGGUAAGUGGAAUUCCAUGUUAGCGGUGAAAUGCGUAGAUAUAUGGAGGAACACCAGUGGCGAAGGCGACUUACUGGUCUGUUAUUGACGCUGAGGCUCGAAAGCGUGGGGAGCGAACAGGAUUAGAUACCCUGGUAGUCCACGCCGUAAACGAUGAGUGCUAAGUGUUGGAGGGUUUCCGCCCUUCAGUGCUGGAGCUAACGCAUUAAGCACUCCGCCUGGGGAGUACGGCCGCAAGGCUGAACUCAAGGAAUUGACGGGGACCCGCACAGCGGUGGAGCAUGUGGUUUAUUCGAGCACGC